GGAAAAGUCUCUAAGCUUCAGUUACACAGGAAUCGUACCCGAAACCGACACAGGUGGUCAGGUCGAGUAGACCAAAGCGCUUGAGAGAACACUGCUGAAGGAACUAGGCAAAAUGGUACCGUAACUUCGGGAGAAGGUACGCUGCUGACGGUGAUGGGACUUGCUCCCUGAGCGGUUGGCAGCCGCAGAAACCAGGCCGCUGCAACUGUUUAUUAAAAACAUAGCACUCUGCAAACACGAAAGUGGACGUAUAGGGUGUGAUGCCUGCCCGGUGCUGGAAGGUUAAUUGAUGGGGUUAGCGUAAGCGAAGCUCUUGAUCGAAGCCCCAGUAAACGGCGGCCGUAACUAUAACGGUCCUAAGGUAGCGAAAUUCCUUGUCGGGUAAGUUCCGACCUGCACGAAUGGCAUAAUGAUGGCGGCGCUGUCUCCAGCAGAGGCUCAGUGAAAUCGAAAUCGCUGUGAAGAUGCAGUGUACCCGCGGCUAGACGGAAAGACCCCGUGAACCUUUACUGCAGCUUGACAUUGAACUUUGACCUUACUUGUGUAGGAUAGGUGGGAGGCUUUGAAGUUGGAACGCUAGUUCCAAUGGAGCCGUCCUUGAAAUACCACCCUGGUAAUGUUGAGGUUCUAACUCUGCCCCGUAAUCCGGGGCGAGGACCAUGUCUGGUGGGUAGUUUGACUGGGGCGGUCUCCUCCUAAAGAGUAACGGAGGAGUACGAAGGUGCGCUCAGCGUGGUCGGAAAUCACGCGUAGAGUAUAAAGGCAAAAGCGCGCUUAACUGCGAGACCCACAAGUCGAGCAGGUACGAAAGUAGGUCUUAGUGAUCCGGUGGUUCUGUAUGGAAGGGCCAUCGCUCAACGGAUAAAAGGUACUCUGGGAUAACAGGCUGAUACCGCCCAAGAGUUCAUAUCGACGGCGGUGUUUGGCACCUCGAUGUCGGCUCAUCUCAUCCUGGGGCUGAAGCAGGUCCCAAGGGUAUGGCUGUUCGCCAUUUAAAGAGGUACGCGAGCUGGGUUUAGAACGUCGUGAGACAGUUCGGUCCCUAUCUACCGUGGGCGCUGGAAAUUUGAGAGGAUCUGCUCCUAGUACGAGAGGACCAGAGUGGACGAACCUCUGGUGUACCGGUUGUCACGCCAGUGGCAUCGCCGGGUAGCUAUGUUCGGAAGGGAUAACCGCUGAAAGCAUCUAAGCGGGAAGCCUACCUCAAGAUAAGAUUUCCCUAGGACUUUAUGUCCUCUAAAGAGCCGUUCGAGACCAG
RNAcentral lists this ribosomal RNA (1258 nucleotides) under metagenome. RNAcentral's name for it is "bacterial LSU rRNA". It matches the Rfam family "Bacterial large subunit ribosomal RNA", at positions 1611 to 2848 of the family's 2925-position model. The record is from RNAcentral.